This 117-nucleotide small nucleolar RNA is filed under the name Mus pahari (shrew mouse). RNAcentral describes it as "snoRNA (MGP_PahariEiJ_G0034527.1)". The stretch from base 1 to 101 matches the Rfam family "Small nucleolar RNA SNORA17". From Rfam's summary of the family: snoRNA ACA 17 belongs to the H/ACA family of snoRNAs and is predicted to guide pseudouridylation of the 28S rRNA at positions U4659 and U4598. It shares the same host gene together with ACA43. Lineage: Eukaryota; Metazoa; Chordata; Mammalia; Rodentia; Muridae. The record is from RNAcentral.
CUUGCCCAUGGAAGCAUUGCAGGUGUGACUGCUGUGUCACGUGUAUGACAGUAGGUAGCAGAGAGGACAGAGACUAUGCCUACAUUUAGUGUUCUCACCAAUUGUGGGUCUGCGUUC